GAUGAAUGCUGGCGGCGUGCCUAACACAUGCAAGUCGAGCGGCAGCGAGUUUUACACUGAAUUCUGGAAGCUUCUGAGUAGUAUAGAAGAUUUAUUCAAGAAUUUUGUGUAAAAUGUCGGCGAGCGGCGGACGGCUGAGUAACGCGUAGGAAUUUGCCCCAAAGUGAGGAAUAACUGCCCGAAAGGGUAGCUAAUGCCGCAUAUGGUCUUCGGAUUAAAGCCUUCGGGCGCUUUGGGAGAAGCCUGCGUUGGAUUAGGUAGUUGGUAGGGUAAUGGCCUACCAAGCCGACGAUCCAUAGCUGGUCUGAGAGGAUGAUCAGCCAGACUGGAACUGAGACACGGUCCAGACUCCUACGGGAGGCAGCAGUGAGGAAUCUUCCACAAUGGGCGAAAGCCUGAUGGAGCAACGCCGCGUGAAGGAUGAAGGCCUUCGGGUUGUAAACUUCUUUUAUGAGUGAAGAAUAUGACGGUAACUCAUGAAUAAGCACCGGCUAACUACGUGCCAGCAGCCGCGGUCAUACGUAGGGUGCAAGCAUUAUCCGGAGUGACUGGGCGUAAAGAGUUGCGUAGGCGGUUUAAUAAGUGAAUAGUGAAACCUGGUGGCUCAACCAUACAGACUAUUAUUCAAACUGUUAAACUCGAGAAUGGUAGAGGUAACUGGAAUUUCUAGUGUAGGAGUGAAAUCCGUAGAUAUUAGAAGGAACACCGAUGGCGUAGGCAGGUUACUGGGCCAUUUCUGACGCUAAGGCACGAAGGCGUGGGGAGCGAACCGG
This 773-nucleotide ribosomal RNA is filed under the name uncultured Candidatus Saccharibacteria bacterium. Its description in RNAcentral is "bacterial SSU rRNA". It matches the Rfam family "Bacterial small subunit ribosomal RNA", at positions 28 to 776 of the family's 1533-position model. Lineage: Bacteria; Candidatus Saccharimonadota. The record is from RNAcentral.